GGAUAUGGAAAAGUGGGGUUCAUUCUUCACACGCAUGAGGUCACAGGUUCGAGUCCUGUAGUCUCCACCA
RNAcentral lists this transfer RNA (70 nucleotides) under Candidatus Faecousia intestinigallinarum. RNAcentral's name for it is "tRNA-Val". Lineage: Bacteria; Bacillati; Bacillota; Clostridia; Eubacteriales; Oscillospiraceae. The record is from RNAcentral.